Molecule: ribosomal RNA, 255 nt
Filed under: uncultured bacterium
Lineage: Bacteria
Description: partial 16S ribosomal RNA
Rfam family: Bacterial small subunit ribosomal RNA
Source: RNAcentral
UACGGAGGGGGCUAGCGUUAUUCGGAAUUACUGGGCGUAAAGCGCACGUAGGCGGCUUUGUAAGUAAGAGGUGAAAGCCCGGAGCUCAACUCCGGAACUGCCUUUUAGACUGCAUCGCUUGAAUCCAGGAGAGGUGAGUGGAAUUCCGAGUGUAGAGGUGAAAUUCGUAGAUAUUCGGAAGAAACACCAGUGGCGAAGGCGGCUCACUGGAGCUGGUAUUGACGCUGAGGUGCGAAAGCGUGGGGAGCAAACAGG